AUGUAUGAGGAUGCCGGUGUCUCAUCAAACAUGUAUUGUGUGAGGACACCCUUCGUCCGACCUAAUCUUGCCGAUCAUCCGCAGCAGCACUUCAAAACUCCCAGGUUGUUUUCAUCAGCAAGCUUACAGCUGACCACAUGGUGGAACUCGAUAAUACAACACUAUACGAUGCACCUGAGAUUCCAAUGGAUACCUGUCGAAGCGAUGUGGUCAUCAGCAUGUAUGCUCUCAGUCUCCUGUGAACAAGUACAGAAAAUGCUCCAGCGCGGCUUCCUCUGGGCUGGCCGUGCUGCUGCCAAUGGUGGACACUGCCAUGUGAACUGGAGCAGAGUGUGCCGCCCCAUCGAGCUCGGGGGCCUUGGCGUGCGAGACCUCAAGCGGGACGGCCUCGCCCUGAGACUACGCUGGCUAUGGUUUUCAAGAACGGACCCGGAGCGAGCAUGGCAAGGGCUCGACCUCCAAUUUUCGCCCACGGAACGAGCCCUGUUCUGGGCAUCCACGUUCACGAUCCUCGGGAAUGGGCUGUCCGCCCUGCUCUGGGAGGACCGGUGGAUUGGCGGCCGAUCCGUGCGCGAGCUCAUGCCUAAUCUCUACGGCUGCAUCCCCAAGCGACGACGGACGACGAGAACUGUGGCGGAUGGGCUCAAUGGCAACUCCUGGGCACGCGACAUCCAAGGAAACCUCGGUCUCCACGAGAUUGGUCAGUAUCUGCAACUCUGGCAGAUCAUGCAGCGCACCGAGCUUUCCACCGCACCGGACAAGUUGAUCUGGCGUUGGACAGCGAGCGGCAGCUACUCUGCGCAGUCCUGCUACACGGCGACCUUCCAUGGAGCAACGGCCUGCCACUCAUGGAAGCUGAUUUGGAAAUGCUGGGCGCCACCGCGAGUCAAGUUCUUCCACUGGCUGGCCAACCAGGACCGAUGCUGGACGGCUGAGAGGCUGGCUCGCCAUGGCCUCCAGCAUCACCCCCGCUGCCUCCUAUGUGACCAGCAGCCGGAAACGGUGCGACACCUCAUGCUGGAAUGCCCCCUCACCCGUCAGGCAUGGCACGAGACACUGGCCUGGCUUCGCAUCCCGGCCCCGAUCCCCUCGCAGGAACCAUCGCUUACGGACUGGUGGAGACAGGCCAACGAAGACACGCCGCCGACCCUGCGCAAGGCCCUGAAAUCUGUUGCGUUGCUCGUGCCAUGGAUGGUCUGGAAGCACCGAAACAGCUGCGUCUUUGACAAUGCGAUGCCUUCCCUCAACACACUCCUAGAUAGCAUUAGGGACGAGGCCCGCUCAUGGGCAGCAGCUGCGGCACCUGGCCUCCGACUUGUGCUGCCCCAAACCUGGGAUGUGCACUAA
Molecule: ribosomal RNA, 1347 nt
Filed under: Triticum aestivum (bread wheat)
Lineage: Eukaryota; Viridiplantae; Streptophyta; Magnoliopsida; Poales; Poaceae
Description: partial small subunit ribosomal RNA
Source: RNAcentral